GCCUUCCGUGCCUACUGAGCUGAUACUCAGUUGCUUUAGAUAAACUGGCUCAGUUCAGCAGGAACAGGAGUC
This is a non-coding RNA of Anolis carolinensis (green anole), 72 nucleotides long. The record is from Rfam. Lineage: Eukaryota; Metazoa; Chordata; Lepidosauria; Squamata; Anolidae.